Molecule: ribosomal RNA, 253 nt
Filed under: uncultured bacterium
Lineage: Bacteria
Description: partial 16S ribosomal RNA
Rfam family: Bacterial small subunit ribosomal RNA
Source: RNAcentral
UACGUAGGGGGCCAGCGUUGUUCGGAAUUACUGGGUGUAAAGGGUUCGUAGGCGGUGUGGCAAGUUGGGAGUGAAAUCUCUGGGCUCAACCCAGAGACGGCUUCCAAAACUGCCGUGCUUGAGUGUGAGAGAGGCUCGUGGAAUUGCAGGUGUAGCGGUGAAAUGCGUAGAUACAUGGAGGAACACCGGUGGCGAAAGCGGCUUUCUAGUUUUUACCUGACGCUGAGGCACGAAGGCCAGGGGAGCAAACGGG